UGCUGCGGAGCACGCGGGGCUGGCCGCUCUUCCCCUUCCCGCCACUCAGGCUGCUCACAGAGCAUUCGAGUCCUCGGACACGCAGCAAUGAGCAGGGCGGUAAAAAUGUCAGCCUGACGUGCUCAGGUGGAAAACGGCGUGGAAGGGCAAAUCCUCUGUUACUACCAGGAGCUGAAGAGGCUGCUGCUCUUGCCAAGAAAGUGUAGUCAGGUUGCUGUCACACAUAGGACAGGCAAGGACUGAUAUCCAGGGCCAGCAGGAGUGAUGCUUCUCGUGUGUGCAUGGCACUUCAAGAUUUGGGGUCCUAAGGGCCUCAAGAACAGCUUUUCUCUGAGUGCAUUUCGCUUCUCAUCAGCAGGCAGCUGAAAAAUUGGUCUCAUACUGGUUAUGUGUGGAAAGCAGAACAAUAUGCCAAGACAAGAUGAAACAGAUGUUUCAGGUCUCCAUUACAAUUCAGACAGAAAUUUAAAUCAGCUGAAAACAUCAGAACAAAAUGUUUUGAAUGCGUGCAGAGAUCUAAAGCAAGUCAUCUGGAGCUCUGGGAGCCUGGCGUCCCACAGACUGGAUUCCAAACUUGCUCAAGAUAUUUGUGUAAAUAGGACUAUUGACACAGAGAAUAUCACAAUGAAUCUCAAAGUUGUGCUGUAUUUGUAUUCAUCCUUGUAUUCCAAUGAAAGGUUUAUCUUUCUGAAUUAGAGUUUCUUAGAGCCAAUUCCAAAAUUAGAUGUAGAGAAGGACCAAUAACUUCAGUAAAAAAGAUGAAGGGUCACCUCUUCCCUACCCUUACAGGCAGGACAUGACAGAUGCCAGUUGGAACAAUUUUCUACUAAAAAAUGAGUUUUGAGAGAACAAAUAUUUUCAUAGAAAGAGUUUGCUUUCCUCCAAAUAUUACUCCCUUUCAUAAGCCCCAAAGACUUAAAAGCAAAGAGAUUUGAUUGUUGGCAGUUUGGGGAUUCUUCCCCUCCCUUUCCCCCAGCAUUUUCCAAUGGAAAAUAUUCAGGGUUUGGGUUUUUAGCCCUUUGCUAGAAUGUCAACAUUUUCCAAAGGCUGAAGGAGGGAAAAAGAGAAGAAAAGAAAAACAUGUUCUGACCAGCUCCAGUCAGAGCCAAAUGGCUCAAUUCUGGAUAUGGUCAGGGAAGUAUGCUGGAGGGGAGAAAAUGGGAGCGCCUUGGUUCCAAGCACAGUCUGGGCUGAGGACUGUGUAUCACAAUCCAUUUGUAUGAGUCAUUCCAGUCGACAUUUCACCAGGGGAGCAUGUGUAGUGGCUUUUAAGCACUUCAGGUCAAUAUGUUACUUGCAAACACUGCCUCAUUGCUUACUACGGCCACUUCGGCUCUCUGUGUGCAUGUGGGUUGUGCACAGGUACAUUCUGUUCAAGUCCCCAAUAUUUCCAUGACGUCUUUAACUCACAGAGGUAACAAUAACACAAUAGCACCUAUCCAGACCUGUGAAUUCAGCUCUCCCCCAUUCAUAAAAGAGGAGAAAGAAGUAGAACUGAGCCUACAAAAGCCUCGGACAGCUAUGGAAUUGGGAGAAGCACUGUUAGAACUAAGUUGACAUAAAGGCAGCUAAACUACUCAUGCAUGUGCAUGUACCAUCCUGCUUUUAGUGGAAAAGAAAUGGCUUCAUUUCUCCAAUGUGCUGCUGGUCCCCAGCUGCUUCCUCAGUCUCCAGAAAGCUAUCCCAGCAUUUGGGCACCUUCAAAUCUGAUGAAGAGAAGGACUACCUUUGCUUCUGCCUCUCCAAGGUGUCUCCCAGACCUGCAACGGGAGAGUUCUUGUAUGGAAGACCCAGACUAGGUCUUUGUCCCCCUCUAGUGACUUGACUGCAAAAGAAGUUUUCUGAGUACUACCUCCAAGCAAGACAGUCCUUACUUUAGGCCAGGAUGUUGAACGGUUUCUUUUUCAAAGGCUAGUAGGAUAUCUAAGCAUCACGGGAAGGUCAUAUAUUUAUACACACUGAAACAUUAUCCAUUAACAACAUAAACAUUAAUUAGGAACUUGACUUUCUGCUCUAAUAAUCUGUGUGUGCCUGCUUUCCUCUCAUGGAGGAUGGCAGUCACAGACUUCACAUGACAUCCGUGUAGUCCUCCAGGAGACCUUGCUAGGUCCACUGUCACCAAAGAGCACACGUGGAGGGACUCCUGUAACCAAACACUUGCUGAGUCACAGCCCAGUUACCCCUGCGCUUAGCAAGGCAUGCCAGCCAUCUGUCACCAGCACAUCCUCCUCACUGCUCUGUGACUCUGCGGGGAAAACAACAGGAGGCAGAUUACAUUAACUGAGAAGCCAGGCUCUCGUGCAUCUUGACUCUGAGUAAUUCCUUGCCUUCUAACCAGUGCUAGAGCCUUUGGUUCAUCUUCAUUUGGCCGUUCGUUGGGGAAGAUAGUGACAUUCAGGUUCAAACAUUGAGCGCUUUGUCACUAAUGAGUGACUCCAAACAAAGCCUGCUCUGGCAAGACAUUGAUAGUGUUGUGCAAAGUGUCCCUGCUACAGACGAGUCAUCUAUACUGGCCUCCUCACCAGUACUCUAAGUAAACCAGAGUGUUCAAAAAAAAAAAAAGCAAAAUAGAGGGAACCCUGUUUCCUACAUUCUUGUUUCCCAACUAUGUCCAGUAAAGAGCAUGUGAGCAGAGAUCCUGUAGUGCCUCCUGUUCUAACUGACCUCCCUCCCGUGUUCUCCCUCCAUUUAGUUGUGACCUAGAGAUCUGCAGUCCUGGAGGGCACUUGUGGGGACACAGCUCCAAGAGAAGGGCGAGUUUCUUACCACGUUCCUGCACACCAAUCAGAUGCAGUGCUGCCCAGAUACGUCAGCCAACCUGGGCUUGUGCAAGAAGCUUGCUGGGGGUGUGUGUUUGCAUACCAUGUACUCAUGCAAGAUUUCACAAACUCUGUGCUGCUUACAGCCAGACCUUCACCACUAGAUUCCUUGCCCUCCUCUCUUGCAUAUUUGAAAGGCUGUUUUCCCUAUUAGCUCCCCUCAAGGACAAGGCACCACACGGCAAUCUGACUGCCCUACUUCAUUCUAAAGUGAUGAAAGAGUGUGGAGUGGAUGGGGCCUUUUUUACUCUGGAGGAAAAAAGUGAACUCAAUGCCAGGCACGGAUCCCAGGCUGUGGAGUUCAAAUCGUACUCUGAGCACAUAAUUCCCAUUUGUGUUUGCGUGCAUGCAGGG
Molecule: non-coding RNA, 3173 nt
Organism: Meleagris gallopavo (turkey)
Lineage: Eukaryota; Metazoa; Chordata; Aves; Galliformes; Phasianidae
Source: RefSeq, a predicted model, not a curated record